Molecule: ribosomal RNA, 387 nt
Filed under: uncultured bacterium
Lineage: Bacteria
Description: bacterial SSU rRNA
Rfam family: Archaeal small subunit ribosomal RNA
Source: RNAcentral
GCGCGAAACCUCCGCAAUGCGAGCAAUCGCGACGGGGGGACCCCAAGUGCUACUCUUAACGGGGUAGCUUUUCUAAAGUGUAAAAAGCUUCAGGAAUAAGGGCUGGGCAAGACCGGUGCCAGCCGCCGCGGUAACACCGGCAGCUCAAGUGGUGGCCGCUUUUAUUGGGCCUAAAGCGUUCGUAGCCGGCCUGAUAAGUCUCUGGUGAAAUCCCGCAGCUUAACUGUGGGAAUUGCUGGAGAUACUAUCAGGCUUGAGGCCGGGAGAGGCUGGAGGAACUCCCAGGGUAGGGGUGAAAUCCUAUAAUCCUGGGAGGACCACCUGUGGCGAGGGCGUCCAGCUGGAACGGACCUGACGGUGAGGAACGAAAGCCAGGGGCGCGAACCG